CUCCCUUUCCCCCCGCGUCUCUCUGAGAGCUGAUCUGAGCUGCUGCUAAGGACCGAAACGCGCCUCAAGCUGUCACUUGCCGCCUGGAGUUCGUUGGGAAAGUUGAAAAAGCCUAGUCCUGUUUAGGAAAUCUAUCCAGCUGUGUAUAUACUUUUUGCUUUUAGGGUAUGAAGCUCAGGAAGGAUAAGAAAAACAAGAUCACACAGCUGGCAAGUGGCAAAGCAGGACACAAUUUAUAACUCCAGAACGAGAAUUUGCAGUUGUUGCGCCAGAUGCCCUGUAGCGGGGCUGCCACCAAGAAGGUGGAAGAACACCUUUAAUUCCAGCACUCAGGACACAGAAACAGGACCUCUCUGCAUAGCCAUGACUAUUCCUGGAACUCACUAUGUAAACCAGAGAUCUGCUUGCCACUGCCUCCCUAGUGCUGGGAUUAAAGUGGCUCGUCUGGGUUCAGGAAAGUAUAGCUCCAGUUUAGUGUUCUUAUGGAUCAUCGACUGUACCCAAGACCAGAAACGGAAACAACUAGAUCAUCUUCAACUGAACAACGGAGACAGAAACGUGAUACAGGGGACUCUGGUUCAAUUCCCAGCACCCACAUGA
This 600-nucleotide long non-coding RNA is filed under the name Mus spicilegus (steppe mouse). RNAcentral describes it as "lncRNA (ENSMSIG00000009165.1)". The record is from RNAcentral. Lineage: Eukaryota; Metazoa; Chordata; Mammalia; Rodentia; Muridae.